RNAcentral lists this ribosomal RNA (225 nucleotides) under Staphylococcus epidermidis. RNAcentral's name for it is "partial 16S ribosomal RNA". It matches the Rfam family "Bacterial small subunit ribosomal RNA", at positions 1 to 220 of the family's 1533-position model. The record is from RNAcentral. Lineage: Bacteria; Bacillati; Bacillota; Bacilli; Caryophanales; Staphylococcaceae.
UUUUAUGGAGAGUUUGAUCCUGGCUCAGGAUGAACGCUGGCGGCGUGCCUAAUACAUGCAAGUCGAGCGAACAGACGAGGAGCUUGCUCCUCUGACGUUAGCGGCGGACGGGUGAGUAACACGUGGAUAACCUACCUAUAAGACUGGGAUAACUUCGGGAAACCGGAGCUAAUACCGGAUAAUAUAUUGAACCGCAUGGUUCAAUAGUGAAAGACGGUUUUGCUG